GAUGAACGCUGGCGGCGUGCCUAACACAUGCAAGUCGAACGAACGGACGAGAAGCUUGCUUCUAUGAUGUGAGCGGCGGACGGGUGAGAAACACGUGGACAACCCCUCUAUAAGAGUGGGACAACGUCGAGAAAGGGUAACUACUACCAGAUAAUAUCUUGAACCGGAUGGUUCCAAAGAGAAAGAGGGUCUUGGGGUUACUCAUAGAUGGAUCCGCGCUGUAUUAGCUAGUUGGUAGGGUAACGGCCUACCAAGGCAACGAUGGGUAGCCGACCUGAGAGGGGGAUCGGCCACACUGGAACUGGGACACGGUCCAGACUCCUACGAGAGGCAGCAGUAGGGAAUCUUCGGCAAUGGGCGAAAGCCUGACACAGCAACGCCGCGUGUGUGAUGAAGGUCUUCGGGUCGUAAAGCACUGUUAUUGGGGAAGAACCUCUGUGUGAGUAAAUGUGCAGAUCUUGACGGUACCUGAAGAAGAAGCCACGGCUAACUACGUG
Molecule: ribosomal RNA, 497 nt
Filed under: uncultured bacterium
Lineage: Bacteria
Description: partial 16S ribosomal RNA
Rfam family: Bacterial small subunit ribosomal RNA
Source: RNAcentral